GUAGGGAAUCUUCCACAAUGGACGAAAGUCUGAUGGAGCAACGCCGCGUGAGUGAAGAAGGUCUUCGGAUCGUAAAACUCUGUUGUUAGAGAAGAACGUGCGUGAUAGUAACUGAUCAUGUAAUGACGGUAUCUAACCAGAAAGCCACGGCUAACUACGUGCCAGCAGCCGCGGUAAUACGUAGGUGGCAAGCGUUGUCCGGAUUUAUUGGGCGUAAAGGGAACGCAGGCGGUUUUUUAAGUCUGAUGUGAAAGCCUUCGGCUUAACCGAAGAAUAGCAUUGGAAACUGGAAGACUUGAGUGCAGAAGAGGAGAGUGGAAUUCCAUGUGUAGCGGUGAAAUGCGUAGAUAUUAGGAGGAACACCAGUGGCGAAGGCGGCUUUCUGGACUGUAACUGACACUGAGGCACGAAAGCGUGGGGAGCAAACAGGAUUAGAUACCCUGUAGUC
RNAcentral lists this ribosomal RNA (448 nucleotides) under uncultured bacterium. RNAcentral's name for it is "partial 16S ribosomal RNA". It matches the Rfam family "Bacterial small subunit ribosomal RNA", at positions 354 to 795 of the family's 1533-position model. The record is from RNAcentral.